GACGAACGCUGGCGGCGUGCUUAACACAUGCAAGUCGAGCGGUAAGGCCUUUCGGGGUACACGAGCGGCGAACGGGUGAGUAACACGUGGGUGAUCUGCCCUGCACUUCGGGAUAAGCCUGGGAAACUGGGUCUAAUACCGGAUAUGACCUCCUAUCGCAUGGUGGGUGGUGGAAAGAUUUAUCGGUGCAGGAUGGGCCCGCGGCCUAUCAGCUUGUUGGUGGGGUAAUGGCCUACCAAGGCGACGACGGGUAGCCGACCUGAGAGGGUGACCGGCCACACUGGGACUGAGACACGGCCCAGACUCCUACGGGAGGCAGCAGUGGGGAAUAUUGCACAAUGGGCGAAAGCCUGAUGCAGCGACGCCGCGUGAGGGAUGACGGCCUUCGGGUUGUAAACCUCUUUUAGUAGGGAAGAAGCGAAAGUGACGGUACCUGCAGAAAAAGCACCGGCUAACUACGUGCCAGCAGCCGCGGUAAUACGUAGGGUGCAAGCGUUGUCCGGAAUUAUUGGGCGUAAAGAGCUCGUAGGCGGCUUGUCGCGUCGUUUGUGAAAACCAGCAGCUCAACUGCUGGCUUGCAGGCGAUACGGGCAGACUUGAGUACUGCAGGGGAGACUGGAAUUCCUGGUGUAGCGGUGAAAUGCGCAGAUAUCAGAGGAACACCGGUGGCGAAGGCGGGUCUCUGGGCAGUAACUGACGCUGAGGAACGAAAGCGUGGGUAGCGAACAGGAUUAGAUACCCUGGU
This 745-nucleotide ribosomal RNA is filed under the name uncultured Rhodococcus sp. Its description in RNAcentral is "bacterial SSU rRNA". It matches the Rfam family "Bacterial small subunit ribosomal RNA", at positions 28 to 791 of the family's 1533-position model. Lineage: Bacteria; Bacillati; Actinomycetota; Actinomycetes; Mycobacteriales; Nocardiaceae. The record is from RNAcentral.